RNAcentral lists this ribosomal RNA (253 nucleotides) under uncultured bacterium. RNAcentral describes it as "partial 16S ribosomal RNA". It matches the Rfam family "Bacterial small subunit ribosomal RNA", at positions 524 to 776 of the family's 1533-position model. The record is from RNAcentral.
UACGUAGGGACCAAGCGUUGUCCGGAAUCAUUGGGCGUAAAGAGCGUGUAGGCGGCUUGUUAAGUCUUGCGUGAAAUCUCGGGGCUCAACCCCGAGCGGUCGUGAGAAACUGGCAGGCUAGAGUGCGGGAGAGGAGAGUGGAAUUCCUGGUGUAGCGGUGAAAUGCGCAGAUAUCAGGAGGAAUACCGGUGGUGUAGACGGCUCUCUGGACCGCAACUGACGCUGAGACACGAAAGCGUGGGUAGCAAACAGG